This 138-nucleotide ribosomal RNA is filed under the name Triticum aestivum (bread wheat). Its description in RNAcentral is "partial small subunit ribosomal RNA". The record is from RNAcentral. Lineage: Eukaryota; Viridiplantae; Streptophyta; Magnoliopsida; Poales; Poaceae.
AACAAAUACAAAGUGUUCAAAUCACGUCUUAUAAUAAGAAGAAAUCUUUCUCGGUAUCAAUCCCCUUGCCCCUCAUUCUUUGAGAAUCAGAAGGAUCCUUUUCGAGUUUCCAGUUUCUGGUACUCCAGAGCGGAGUAG